Arabidopsis lyrata subsp. lyrata is the source of this 1460-nucleotide long non-coding RNA. RefSeq lists it as uncharacterized. The transcript is spliced from 3 exons. The record is from RefSeq and is a predicted model, not a curated record. NCBI's taxonomy places the organism in Eukaryota, Viridiplantae, Streptophyta, Magnoliopsida, Brassicales, Brassicaceae.
UAUUACAAAACCUAACAAAUAUUUCCAAAAAAAAAAUCUCCCAAAUCAAAAAAGUUAGGUCUCUUCCUUUUCGACUCCGACUCCACCGUGAAGCUCGUCGCCAGCCUCAAUUCGCGUCGAUUCCGUCAUUACCUUUCAGUCUCAGCCUCCUUUUAUCUUCGAUCUACUCCUCCACCAUUCAAUCUUCCCACUUGUCUCUCCGAUCUCAGAUCUCCCUCUCUUUCUUCGAUUUGUGACGAACGAAAGCUUAGCUUCUCCUCCAAUGGUGGUCAACUCCAAUCAUCGCUUACUCUCUUUUUCUUCAGUGCUCGUCGGUUUUGCAGUGAAACGACAUGGAUUCUCCUUGAAACCAAUGACGAAGCUCUUGGUUAACUAACUCCCGCCAGAGGGAUUACUUCGAGAAGCACAAAUUCAAUGACUCUUCUUCUUCUUUGCCUUCAUACUCCUUGCAAAAUGCUUCUUUGGAUUCUCUUAUUUGCUUCAGCAUCUGCAACAAGUUAAGGCUCACAUGGACUCGCAUUUUGCAGUAGAGACUCAUGCGGAGAAGAAGGUAGAGGAUGUAAUGCCCAUUGCAACUGGACAUGAGAAGGAGGAGCUUGAAGUUGAAUUGGAGUUCUCCAGUUUAAAUCUGAGGAGGUUAGGGUUGAAGAGAGUAGUAAUACGGCGACGAAAAGAAAAGAAGGUGGUGGAGAUGUCGUAGUCGCUGAAUCUGAGGAGCUUAGGGUUGAAGAGAGUAGUAAUACAGUGGAGGAGAGUGAAACUGAAGCAGAGAAUGAAGAGAAAACAGAGUUGACUAUUGAAGAAGAUGAUGAUGAUUGGGAAGGAAUUGAGAGAGGCACAGCCCAUGGCCGUCAUGGUCACUGCUCGUGCCAAAUGUUUCCAUACUUUUCCAUGUUUCUAUAUUCCUUACUCUGCAACUCAGCUUUUGAUCUUUUAGUUUCUUGGCAAUUGAUACUUCUAAUGUGAACGUCAUAAAGGAGAGAACUGUGUGAGAGUUAGACUGAUGAAGAUUAGGUGGUUAGGGAUACAUGUCUAUAUUGUAGAGUUUUGUAGGUUUAAUUUCAGCAAUUGUCUGGAAUAAGCAUUGGUGUAUAGCUUGGUUGCUUUAUGGUAGUUUGCAGAAAGGUUCAGCGUGGCUAUUUUUUUUGUCUUGUUUUUAUCUAAUGUGAGCUUAUUCUGCAAACUAAUCUUAUUUUUUGAGUUUAUUCUGCAAACUAGUUUGUUCGUGUAAGUUAUUUCAGGUGUCAUUGACGAAUCAGGAAAGGCAAAAUGAGCAACUGAAAAGAGUGGCUUCGCUACAAGUAAGAAAGCUUCUACAACAAAGGCUUAUUCUUUUGUAUGAUCCAAGACUUUAGGCUAUGAAGAUUAGUUAUUUUAUUGUAUGUAAUACAUGUUAUAUAUGUUUUGUUUAAUGAAUGUUUUUGAUAAUUUAUGCAAUAAAAAAAUCUAUAUAAAUCCAA